RNAcentral lists this ribosomal RNA (817 nucleotides) under Bacillus vallismortis. Its description in RNAcentral is "bacterial SSU rRNA". It matches the Rfam family "Bacterial small subunit ribosomal RNA", at positions 423 to 1235 of the family's 1533-position model. Lineage: Bacteria; Bacillati; Bacillota; Bacilli; Caryophanales; Bacillaceae. The record is from RNAcentral.
UCGUAAGCUCUGUUGUUAGGGAGACAGUGCUGUUCGAAUAGGGCGGCACCUUGACGGUACCUAACCCAGAAAGCACGGCUAACUACGUGCCAGCAGCCGCGGUAAUACGUAGGUGGCAAGCGUUGUCCGGGAAUUAUUGGGCGUAAAGGGCUCGCAGGCGGUUUCUUAAGUCUGAUGUGAAAGCCCCCGGCUCAACCGGGGAGGGUCAUUGGAAACUGGGGAACUUGAGUGCAGAAGAGGAGAGUGGAAUUCCACGUGUAGCGGUGAAAUGCGUAGAGAUGUGGAGGAACACCAGUGGCGAAGGCGACUCUCUGGUCUGUAACUGACGCUGAGGAGCGAAAGCGUGGGGAGCGAACAGGAUUAGAUACCCUGGUAGUCCACGCCGUAAACGAUGAGUGCUAAGUGUUAGGGGGUUUCCGCCCCUUAGUGCUGCAGCUAACGCAUUAAGCACUCCGCCUGGGGAGUACGGUCGCAAGACUGAAACUCAAAGGAAUUGACGGGGGCCCGCACAAGCGGUGGAGCAUGUGGUUUAAUUCGAAGCAACGCGAAGAACCUUACCAGGUCUUGACAUCCUCUGACAAUCCUAGAGAUAGGACGUCCCCUUCGGGGGCAGAGUGACAGGUGGUGCAUGGUUGUCGUCAGCUCGUGUCGUGAGAUGUUGGGUUAAGUCCCGCAACGAGCGCAACCCUUGAUCUUAGUUGCCAGCAUUCAGUUGGGCACUCUAAGGUGACUGCCGGUGACAAACCGGAGGAAGGUGGGGAUGACGUCAAAUCAUCAUGCCCCUUAUGACCUGGGCUACACACGUGCUACAAUGGGC